AGUACAGGAAAUAUUUGCCCAUUUUUUAUCCCACACCUCCAUCGAAUUGAUGGUGCUGAAGAAAUUUCCAUUUUUACUGCCGCAUCUUCCACCACCUCUGUUGCUGCUGUUAUCGCUGCUUCCACAUUAAUGGUUGAUUAAGUCUUGAAAUGGUAACCUCCUGGCCCUUUAUUUUGAUUAAGUCUUGAAAUGGUAACCUCCUGGCCCUUUAUUUUUAGUUGUUUCCAGUUUAGGGUUUUGAUUAUUUGAAUUCUUCGAUUAAGGCUUGAAUUAGGGUUUUGGUUCUUCCCACCCACCUUGAUAGUAUCUCCAUUGUCGUCCAAUACCCAGAGACUUACUCGCAGAUCACUCAUCCAUGUAAUUUGCUCUGUAAUUGCUAAUAUUACCACUAAUACUUCAAUACCCACUUCCACUACUUUGAUUUUGCUCACUCCUUUUCUUCCUCUUGUAGUUUGUUCUCUACCUUAGUGAGUUUCUCUUUUUCUUUGCCAAAAGUUAAGGCUUGCUGUUGCAAGCUCACAAUUUUUCUCCAGAUUUUAAGAAUCAUUUAAAACUCUGUUCUCCAUAUCAUGCUUGUGACUGUAGGAGUUGAACUAUUUAAGUAGGUUGCUAAUUUGUUUUCGUCCCUAAGUCUUUGGUCAUAUUUUUGAGAAUCUAUAGAUGUUCUUUGGUGUUUAAAUACUGACAUAGAUAAAUUAUCAAUAAAUUAUUUGUUCUAAUGUUGGUUAUUCUAGAUAGAAAGAAUCCUUUUGUUGCUACUGUUCAAGGAUUUGCCAGUGGUAGGUUCUUAGAAUAGGGUAUGGUUUGUUAUUUUCGUAAAUUGUACUGCUCAACUUCAUGGUUUUACACUAUUGUAGCCUUCAGUUUUUAAGCUGACAUGUUUAUAUCAUUGGUUUAUUCUAGUGGUGCAGUGCUCGAAUUGCAUCAUGUAGAGCUGAACUAGGUCUACCUGAACUGAAGGUUGGAAUUAUUUAGUUGUGGAGGUAAAAAUGUCUUGCUUCUUUAGAUUGUUGUUGCUUGUCCGAGAUCUUGCUUUAUCCCCAAUUCUUACAUAACAAAUUCAAUGGGUCGAAGCCGAUUUAGUUAUGUUGAAAUUGGCAAAAAAGAUAGCCCAUUCUUACAUAGCUUCUUCCAGUAAUAUUUAUUAAUGUUUGAACUGAUUGACAUUUUUUCGUAGUUAAAAGAUUAUCUAAAUGCAAGAAGAAUCGGGUGUUGUAUUCUUUUCCUUUCCACCUAUAUUUGUACUUAAAACUAGUUAUUACCAUGUGACAAUCAUUCAAGAUCAAUACUUCUGAUGAAGGAAGGAGUUGGGUAUUAUCUAUGAUGUGGUAUCUUCUUAAGACCUCUUAGUAAUUUCUUCUAUCCAGGCAUUACAUAUCGCAAAAGGACGUAAAGCUCGUACUAAUAGACUUCAAAGGAUAGAUAAGAUUGAACCUAUACAUGAGUCAUCUGCUAUCCUAGAAACUACUAGACAACAUGUUUUGAAGACUUCUCCAGGCAUGCACAUUAUACAUAUACAGCCUGCCUCGAUGUUAUUGAAGAGAGCAUUUCUGGAGGAUAUACUGGAGUUUUGAAGGAGGACAAGGUUUUCAGAGAAUUAUUAAUCUCAAAAUUGGCUAGGGGUCUGCUCCAUAUGGAUUUUGAUGAACGUACAACAUCAAAGGAAAGUCUUGGUGAUUUGUUGGAAAUGGUGGCCAAACGACAAUUUGAUCUAAUGGAACGUAAUCAUCAAGACUUUGGACAAUUACGAUUUUUGUUAUUCCUGAUACUAUAAUAAUACAUUUGCUUUUUAUAAAGUUAAUUAAUUGCUAGGAUGCCCCUUGAGACAGUUUUCUUUAUUCAUUGAUGUAUUACACGAGGUUUACUCCUUGUUUGAAGUUCAUUGCAAGUUUAUGCAUUUGAAUUAUUCUUUUAUUA
Non-coding RNA from Nicotiana tabacum (common tobacco), 1917 nucleotides. Lineage: Eukaryota; Viridiplantae; Streptophyta; Magnoliopsida; Solanales; Solanaceae. The record is from RefSeq and is a predicted model, not a curated record.